This 610-nucleotide ribosomal RNA is filed under the name uncultured bacterium. RNAcentral's name for it is "bacterial SSU rRNA". It matches the Rfam family "Bacterial small subunit ribosomal RNA", at positions 371 to 978 of the family's 1533-position model. The record is from RNAcentral.
AUGGGCAAAGCUGAUCCAUCAAUACGCGUGUGUGAAGAAGGCCUGAGGGUUGUAAGCACUUUCAAUAGGAAGGAAUACCUAUCGGUUAAUACCCGGUAGACUGACAUUACCUAUACAAGAAGCACCGGCUAACUCCGUGCCAGCAGCCGCGGUAAUACGGAGGGUGCAAGCGUUAAUCGGAAUUACUGGGCGUAAAGCGUGCGUAGGCGGUUAUUUAAGUCAGAUGUGAAAGCCCUGGGCUUAACCUGGGAACUGCAUUUGAUACUGGAUGACUAGAGUUGAGUAGAGGAGAGUGGAAUUUCAGGUGUAGCGGUGAAAUGCGUAGAGAUCUGAAGGAACACCAGUGGCGAAGGCGGCUCUCUGGACUCAAACUGACGCUGAGGUACGAAAGCGUGGGUAGCAAACAGGAUUAGAUACCCUGGUAGUCCACGCCGUAAACGAUGUCAACUAACCGUUGGGUUCUUUAAGAACUUAGUGGUGGAGCUAACGUAUUAAGUUGACCGCCUGGGGAGUACGGCCGCAAGGCUAAAACUCAAAUGAAUUGACGGGGGCCCGCACAAGCGGUGGAGCAUGUGGUUUAAUUCGAUGCAACGCGAAGAACCUUACCUAC